GGGCCAGUAGCUCAGCUGGUUAGAGCACCGCCCUUAUAAGGCGGGGGUCGAGAGUCCGAGUCUCUCCUGGCCCA
RNAcentral lists this transfer RNA (74 nucleotides) under Candidatus Uhrbacteria bacterium. Its description in RNAcentral is "tRNA-Ile". It matches the Rfam family "tRNA". From Rfam's summary of the family: Transfer RNA (tRNA) molecules are approximately 80 nucleotides in length. Their secondary structure includes four short double-helical elements and three loops (D, anti-codon, and T loops). Further hydrogen bonds mediate the characteristic L-shaped molecular structure. tRNAs have two regions of fundamental functional importance: the anti-codon, which is responsible for specific mRNA codon recognition, and the 3' end, to which the tRNAs corresponding amino acid is attached (by aminoacyl-tRNA synthetases). tRNAs cope with the degeneracy of the genetic code in two manners: having more than one tRNA (with a specific anti-codon) for a particular amino acid; and 'wobble' base-pairing, i.e. permitting non-standard base-pairing at the 3rd anti-codon position. The record is from RNAcentral. Lineage: Bacteria; Candidatus Uhriibacteriota.